Molecule: ribosomal RNA, 183 nt
Filed under: Zhihengliuella sp. enrichment culture clone AVCTGRB8A
Lineage: Bacteria; Bacillati; Actinomycetota; Actinomycetes; Micrococcales; Micrococcaceae
Description: partial 16S ribosomal RNA
Rfam family: Bacterial small subunit ribosomal RNA
Source: RNAcentral
ACGGACUCCUACGGGAGGCAGCAGUGGGGAAUAUUGCACAAAUGGGCGGAAGCCUGAUGCAGCGACGCCGCGUGAGGGAUGACGGCCUUCGGGUUGUAAACCUCUUUCAGUAGGGAAGAAGCGAGAGUGACGGUACCUGCAAGAAGAAGCGCCGGCUAACUACGUGCCAGCAGCCGCGGUAAU